GGACAGAGUUUGAUCCUGGCUCAGAUUGAACGCUGGCGGAAUGCUUUACACAUGCAAGUCGAACGGCAGCACGGGGCAACCUGGUGGCGAGUGGCGAACGGGUGAGUAAUACAUCGGAACGUGCCCAAUCGUGGGGGAUAACGUAGCGAAAGUUACGCUAAUACCGCAUAUUCUGUGAGCAGGAAAGCAGGGGAUCGCAAGACCUUGCGCUGAUUGAGCGGCCGAUAUCAGAUUAGCUAGUUGGUGAGGUAAAGGCUCACCAAGGCGACGAUCUGUAGCGGGUCUGAGAGGAUGAUCCGCCACACUGGAACUGAGACACGGUCCAGACUCCUACGGGAGGCAGCAGUGGGGAAUUUUGGACAAUGGGGGCAACCCUGAUCCAGCCAUGCCGCGUGAGUGAAGAAGGCCUUCGGGUUGUAAAGCUCUUUCGGCCGGGAAGAAAUCGUAUGGGCUAAUACCCUGUGCGGAUGACGGUACCGGCAUAAGAAGCACCGGCUAACUACGUGCCAGCAGCCGCGGUAA
This 522-nucleotide ribosomal RNA is filed under the name uncultured bacterium. RNAcentral describes it as "bacterial SSU rRNA". It matches the Rfam family "Bacterial small subunit ribosomal RNA", at positions 1 to 523 of the family's 1533-position model. The record is from RNAcentral.